RNAcentral lists this small nuclear RNA (107 nucleotides) under Monomorium pharaonis (pharaoh ant). Lineage: Eukaryota; Metazoa; Arthropoda; Insecta; Hymenoptera; Formicidae. The record is from RNAcentral.
GUACUUGCUUCGGCAGUUUAUAUACUAAAAUUGGAACGAUACAGAGAAGAUUAGCAUAGCCCCUGCGCAAGGAUUACACGCAAAAUCGUGAAGCGUUCCACUAGUAU